Mastacembelus armatus (zig-zag eel) is the source of this 2563-nucleotide long non-coding RNA. Lineage: Eukaryota; Metazoa; Chordata; Actinopteri; Synbranchiformes; Mastacembelidae. The record is from Ensembl.
CAGCAGUUUAAUUCCACCGCUGAAAGAGAUGGUGUAAAGAGAUUUGAAAGCACUAAAACAGCCACUUAUUUUGUGGUGAGAUUGUUUUGUCAAGUACUGUCUCUGUGGUCAUGAAUGAGCUCUUGGUAUUAAGUCAUAAUGUAAAAACCAAGAUAAGCAUUCUUUAUGAUAAAGCAGUCUGAUCUCAGACUCUGUCGAACAUGGCGGAUGCUCAGGAUGAGGUCCAAGAUGAAGACAAAACACUGGAUCAAGCUGAGGUGGCACUUGGGGACCACGUGACAGGAGGAGUGGUUCAGAGUUGGAGGCAGGUGCAGAGGAGACUGGGCAAUGUCCCACCUAAAGGUAAACCCCCACAUUAGUCUUUAAACUGACAUGCUGAUGUGUUGUACAUUUUAAGAGGACCAGUGAGUUUUAAUUUCUGACAAAUUAAUGACUGUUCUUUUUCUAGGCCAAUCUGGUGUUGCUGUUGACCAUGACAAGCUCCUGGCUGAAGUGAAGGAGUGUCAAAAUCUUGUCAGAUUACAACAGGAGCUGCUGCAGGUGUGACUAUCUUGUGUGCUAAUACAAUUACACAAGCACAUCAGACAUAAAAAUACUCUGCUCGUUUUCUGCCUGCAGGACAGCUUUGUUUCACCCAUCCCCUCUGAACUGUCUGAUUCCUACUUUUUGGAAGAGUGGGAACAUCUUCAGAUGCGAGUGGCAGAGCUUGAACAUCAGAGGCGGACUUUUGAAAGGGAGCGGAAGUCUUUCACUGAUGCUGUAAUCCGACUAAGCCAUGAGGUGAAAAGAAAGAGGCAGAGGGAAUUUCUGAAGGAAUAUGAUGAUAUGUGACGAUACUGUAGUCCCCGCUGAGCUAAAAAUGUAGAUAAUGGAUAGGUAAAUGUUAGUGUGACCAAGGGAUGUAGCACUUUUUUUCCCCUCGUGACGUUGUACAAUUACUGUUGAUAAAUCAUGUGAAAAAUUAGAGCAUUUGGGCUUAAGAUGUUGCUUAUUAGUGUCAAGUUUCUAAUUUCCCCUCUUCAGCGCCGUGAUUUUGAGCAACAGAAAGGUUCCCUAAUGAAGCAGCAGUUUUUGUGUGACUCACCUCUAUUUACUAAAGGGGCACUGAGCUGCAACAGGCGAGAGAGCACUGCUCUCAAUUUCUCAGGUUUGGGGCCCACCAACAUAUCUGGCUGUCUUCCCAUUACGCCAUCAUCCACCGAUUCCAGGACUGCUGCUGUUCCUCAGUUACAUCAGGGAAGAGUUCGAGUUCAAACUCCCAGCACCCCUGAGCUGUACUCUGCUCUCAAUCUAUCAUACAACUGCAGGUUGGUCAAGACAGAUUCUUUACAACACAUCUGAUUUCAGGAGUAGUAUACAUUAAAAAUUCAAAGAAUUACAUUGCACAGUGAUGAACUUACCUGUCUUUAUGUUCAGAUAACACAGAUAUGAGUUACCAGCACUCUCCUGUGCUUCCUCUUUGUCAGUCUGGGUUUGUAAACACUGAUGUAAAUAAACACAGCUUCUCAACAGUAUAUCUAUAGUUUAGUCUCCUUUAUGAAGACUAAUAAUGCUAAUAGUCAUCAAAAUUGGUAUUUUGAAUCAUUAUAGAAAUUUAUCUUUAGCUCCAUUUAAGUGAUAGUUCAUGUUCGAUUGACUUUUGAGUUCAUGCUCAACAUUACUGCAGCUAUUAUUUAGCUGUUUCUUCUUUUCUCCAGAGCCAUUGAGGUUAAUCACCAGCAAGAGACAUGGGACGGUGGUGCAGACAGGAUAGUGCAUACACCACAUGCUCCACACUUAGACUGGUCAUUUUAAUGCAAUUUUUGUUGCUACAUUAGAUGGUCACUUAAAAUCCAAUUAUGCCUGUUUUCUCUUUUUAACAUCUUCAAUAAAGACUGAAUUUCCCUAUUGUUAUUUUGACACUACACUGUCUGACUAUAAUGAAAAUUGAUUCUGCCUGUUAUAAUACAGUAUUGACAACAGAUUUAGGUUUCUCAUGGUGGCUAAUUAUAAACCAGGACAUUUUAUCCACUAACUCCUUAUGAGAACUGUCUGUUCUGUGUGAUAUACCCAUGUGUUGUUUCCUAACAAACUGAAGAAUCAGAUGGUAAACUCAGUGCACUGUAACAACUUACCAUGUGAACACUGAUUCCUUUAAGCCCAUAGUUGUUACACUAGGCUUUUUUUGAACUCACUGAGCAUUGUGCAUUUAGAACCAUCUCAGGUUGGUGUCUGCUUCCAUGAAGAGCAACCACAGUACUGCCUUAUCCCUGUUUAUAGACAAUUUAAAAUAAAAAAUCUGUUCCAGCUUUAUUCAACUCAUCACCUACUGAGUCUAUUUAGAUUCCUUUAUAAAAUAAAGGUUUCUGAUGCAACAUCAGCCACUAGCAAGAUGCAUGAAGAAAAUCAAACUAAAGAGGGAAACACUUUCUGUGUAAUGAGUAACUUUAUUCUAAAACAAUAUGUUUUGGAUUGUGGCCUUUAUCAGUCAUUGUAAACACGUUAGGGAAUAUACUUAAAUGGAUAGUUGCACCUAUCUUAAGUGUGUUAUGGGAUCUCCUUUUCAAAUCAAAAGACAUUCCCA